This is a long non-coding RNA of Cyprinodon tularosa, 396 nucleotides long. RefSeq lists it as uncharacterized. The record is from RefSeq and is a predicted model, not a curated record. Lineage: Eukaryota; Metazoa; Chordata; Actinopteri; Cyprinodontiformes; Cyprinodontidae. The transcript is spliced from 3 exons.
CAGAGCCACGAGCCAGCUGCAGACUUUAUUUGUUUGAUACAUGUAAUUAAUUCACAAAGGACCAUAAGAGCUUUAGACUCAGAGUACAAAGGAGUUGGGCUGCUGUAACAAGAAAACUGAGGGAUGAGAAGUAAGAAAAGACUGAAAUUAGAGGAAGGGAGAAUGACAGACUAAGAGGCUCACAGAAAAAGAUCGCAGGGGCAACAGUCUCAGCAGAGACUUCUCCUCCAGCUCCUUUUGGAGAAGCCCGAGGCGCUCCAGGCCAGCAGAGGGACCCUCCAACUUGUUCAUGGUCUAUAAAGACCUUGAUGAUCGAAAAGUGAAAUAGCUUGUAAAGCAACAACAAGAUCCUCAUUCGACCUACAUAAGUUUACAGAAUCAUUAGUGGUACAUUUC